UACGAAGGGGGGCUAGCGUUGCUCGGAAUCACUGGGCGUAAAGCGCACGUAGGCGGCUUUUUUAAGUCAGAGGUGAAAUCCUGGAGCUCAACUCCAGAACUGCCUUUGAUACUGGAGAGCUUGAGUCCGGGAGAGGUGAGUGGAACUGCGAGUGUAGAGGUGAAAUUCGUAGAUAUUCGCAAGAACACCAGUGGCGAAGGCGGCUCACUGGCCCGGUACUGACGCUGAGGUGCGAAAGCGUGGGGAGCAAACAGG
This 255-nucleotide ribosomal RNA is filed under the name uncultured bacterium. RNAcentral describes it as "partial 16S ribosomal RNA". It matches the Rfam family "Bacterial small subunit ribosomal RNA", at positions 524 to 776 of the family's 1533-position model. The record is from RNAcentral.